GAAAUGCGAUAAGUAAUGUGAAUUGCAGAAUUCAGUGAAUCAUCGAAUCUUUGAACGCACCUUGCGCUCCUUGGUAUUCCUUGGAGCAUGCCUGUUUGAGUAUCAUGAAAUCUUCAAAGUAAAUCUUUUGUUAACUCAAUUGGUUUCUACUUUGGUAUUGGAGGUCUUUGCAGCUUCACACCUGCUCCUCUUUGUUCAUUAGCUGGAUCUCAGUGUUAUGCUUGGUUCCACUCGGCGUGAUAAGUUAUCUAUCGCUGAGGACACUGUAAAAGGUGGCCAAGGUAAAUGCAGAUGAACCGCUUCUAAUAGUCCAUUGACUUGGACAAUACUUUUAUGACCUGAUCUCAAAUCGGGUAGGACUACCCGCUGAACUUAAGC
RNAcentral lists this unclassified non-coding RNA (378 nucleotides) under plant metagenome. RNAcentral describes it as "partial contains 5.8S ribosomal RNA, internal transcribed spacer 2, and large subunit ribosomal RNA". The stretch from base 1 to 105 matches the Rfam family "5.8S ribosomal RNA", at positions 50 to 154 of the family's 154-position model. The record is from RNAcentral.